This 484-nucleotide ribosomal RNA is filed under the name uncultured bacterium. RNAcentral describes it as "bacterial SSU rRNA". It matches the Rfam family "Bacterial small subunit ribosomal RNA", at positions 28 to 507 of the family's 1533-position model. The record is from RNAcentral.
GAUGAACGCUAGCGGCAGGCCUAACACAUGCAAGGUCAGGGGCAGCACAGGUAGCAAUACUGGGUGGCGACCGGCGGAUGGGUGCGUAAACGCGUAUGCAACCUACCAUUGAUUGGGGCAUAGCCCGAAGAAAUUCGGAUUAAUACUCCAUAAUAUUCAUUAAAGGCAUCUUUUAUGAAUUAAAGCUUUUGCGAUCAAUGAUGGGCAUGCGUGACAUUAGUUAGUUGGUGAGGUAACGGCUCACCAAAACGAUGAUGUCUAGGGGUUCUGAGAGGAUUAUCCCCCACACUGGUACUGAGACACGGACCAGACUCCUACGGGAGGCAGCAGUGAGGAAUAUUGGUCAAUGGACGCAAGUCUGAACCAGCCAUGCCGCGUGCAGGAUGACGGCCCUAUGGGUUGUAAACUGCUUUUCCACGGGAAGAACCCUCCGACGUGUCGGAGACUGACGGUACCGUGGGAAUAAGCAUCGGCUAACUCCGUG